UGGGGAAUAUUGGACAAUGGGCGCAAGCCUGAUCCAGCCAUGCCGCGUGAGUGAAGAAGGCCCUAGGGUUGUAAAGCUCUUUCGACGGGGAAGAUAAUGACGGUACCCGUAGAAGAAGCCCCGGCUAACUUCGUGCCAGCAGCCGCGGUAAUACGAAGGGGGCUAGCGUUGUUCGGAAUCACUGGGCGUAAAGCGCACGCAGGCGGACUGAUAAGUCAGGGGUGAAAUCCCGGGGCUCAACCUCGGAACUGCCUUUGAUACUGCCAGUCUAGAGUCCGGGAGAGGUGAGUGGAAUUCCUAGUGUAGAGGUGAAAUUCGUAGAUAUUAGGAAGAACACCAGUGGCGAAGGCGACUCACUGGCCCGGUACUGACGCUCAGGUGCGAAAGCGUGGGGAGCAAACA
This 402-nucleotide ribosomal RNA is filed under the name uncultured Hyphomicrobiales bacterium. Its description in RNAcentral is "uncultured Rhizobiales bacterium partial 16S ribosomal RNA". It matches the Rfam family "Bacterial small subunit ribosomal RNA", at positions 355 to 774 of the family's 1533-position model. Lineage: Bacteria; Pseudomonadati; Pseudomonadota; Alphaproteobacteria; Hyphomicrobiales. The record is from RNAcentral.